GGAAGUAGUGACAUCAAUAACAGAAUACAGAAAACAAGAGGGACAUUCCAUCGCCCAAGAACUAUAUUGUAUGCUAGAUUAAUUUGGCCGAAAAACAAAAAUACACUUGUAUAAAUCAUUAGUUAGACCUAUAUUUUUGUAUAAAUGUGAAACAUGGAAACUCAAACCUCAAAGAAAAUAAACUGAAUACUGUACAACACCAAUAUCUAAGAAUGAUCCUAAAAAUAAGAUGGCAAUGUAAAACAUCAAACACUAACACCAGAAACGUCAGUUAUUAAAUUGGAAGGAGACGGUGGACAUGGAUAGGACACAAAUUGAGACACGAAAGAGACCAAAACAGUUAUGUAGCACUACAAUGGGCACCGGAAGGGAAAAGAACUAGAGGAAGACCAAAAACAACAUGAAGAACAACAGCGAAAGAAAGGAACCAACAAGGAUGGACAAGUUGGAUUGUAUAUCAGAACAGCGGCAAAAGAAAGAAAAGGGUGG
Molecule: long non-coding RNA, 489 nt
Filed under: Mytilus galloprovincialis (Mediterranean mussel)
Lineage: Eukaryota; Metazoa; Mollusca; Bivalvia; Mytilida; Mytilidae
Source: RNAcentral